CCUGUGGCGUCCCUUCAUCAGGUCCCUUGUCCAUUGCUCUCCUGGCUUGGCCACCUCAGGUCAAUGGCCAGCUGUCAGGGAGAAGAGGCUACUCGGUGGUGAAGGGACUGAGUAACUCCUCACACUCUCCUCGGCAUGGUCUGAGUGUCUCCACUGGAGGCACAUGUUGAAACUUAGUCCCUGUGUGGUGAUGAAGUCCUGAGAGUCCAGUCAGCGUGAGUAGCGUCUUAUAAAAGGUUUGGUGAGGGCAAGAUCAGCCCCCUUGCCCUUCCACCUUCUGCCAUGUGAGGACACCUAGCUUGCACCAUCUCUGAGGAAUGGGCCCUCACCAGACACCAAAACUGCUGGUUCCUGGAUCUUGGACUUUCCAACUUCUAGAACUGUGAGGAAUACAUUUCUGUUCUUUAUAAACCACCCAAUCUCAGGCAUUUUGUUAUAUCACAUGAAAAGACUAAGACUCCUUGAACCAUGUUCGUGCACCAACUGUUUCCAUUUUAUUAGAAGAUUCUUCUAGUCACUGUCCUUCUGUUGGAACAUUUAUCUCUCCAACAUCAACCAAAUCAUGGUAAUAAUUUGGGUUUCAAUAUUAUUUUAUGUCUGUCGGUUACAGGAGACAUUUCGAUUAAUUUCUAAUCAUAAGCCAGUAAUUGUCCUUCAAAUGGAAUCUUUCUGUUCCAAAGUCCCAGUAUUUGCUUCUGGGAGGUACUUACAGGCUCUUGUCAUAAGCCUCGUCUACACUCCACACAGGGCUAGUGUACCUCAGAGAAACCAUCUCAACCAGUACCUCAAUUCUUGUUCUUUAGUGCAUAGGGCCAGGCAAUUUAUUGGUUCCCACUUACCAUGUCCAAUCCCUGAAGGGCAGAUCUUAUAGGCCUUCUGUUUUAUGAUGCUGGGUCAGAGCCAUGUUCCCCAGUCAGAUACACUGUCCUCUUCACAAUGCAUCCAGGUAAAGAGACACAAAGGUUCAGGAAAAGCCUGUUUAAACAUCGCCAUUGCCAUCCAAGCUUACCUCAUGUCAAUCCACCUUGCAUCUCCAUAUUCUCUCAAUUUAACUGCAGCUCCUAUUAGGACUUAAGUAAUGUGUUCUUCCUUCCACCAUGCAUGGGGCUCAUGUGUCAAGGAGUUCUAGAACCUUCUAUUCUGGUCAUGUUACCCAUUCGUGUUUAUAAUGCUUUGAGUUCCAGCAGGGUAUCAAGCCAGGGGGCCCUGCACCUUGCAGACUUUAUCUUGAUUAAUCAGGCCAUUGCCCCAGAUUGGAUUUCUUAUUGUAACCUUUGUUUUAUUGCUUUCAAAAUUCCUCCAAACUGGGGUAAGUAGAGUAGACUCAUUUAAGGUCCUUUCAUGGGAUACCUGCCAGAGGGUAUCUAACCUCCCAAAGGACUACAUUAAGACCUUUGUUUCU
Molecule: long non-coding RNA, 1402 nt
Filed under: Marmota monax (woodchuck)
Lineage: Eukaryota; Metazoa; Chordata; Mammalia; Rodentia; Sciuridae
Source: RNAcentral